RNAcentral lists this ribosomal RNA (704 nucleotides) under uncultured Actinomycetes bacterium. RNAcentral's name for it is "bacterial SSU rRNA". It matches the Rfam family "Bacterial small subunit ribosomal RNA", at positions 220 to 931 of the family's 1533-position model. Lineage: Bacteria; Bacillati; Actinomycetota; Actinomycetes. The record is from RNAcentral.
UUGGGUGGGGCUCGCGGCCUAUCAGCUUGUUGGUGGGGUAAUGGCCUACCAAUGCUUCGACGGGUAGCUGGUCUGAGUAGGACGUAUCAGCCACACUGGGUAUGAGUAACACGGCCCAGACUCCUACGGGAGGCAGCAGUGGGGUAAUCUUGCGCAAUAGGCGAAAGCCUGACGCAGCAACGCCGCGUGAGGGACGAAUGUUCUUUGAAUUGUAAACCUCUUUCAGUAGGGACGAUAAUGACGGUACCUACAGAAGUAAGCACCGGCCAACUACGUGCCAGCAGCCGCGGUGAUACGUAGGGUGCAAGCGUUGUCCGGAUUUAUUGGGCGUAAAGGGCUCGUAGGCGGUUCGACAAGUCGGGUGUGAAACCCCCAGGCUCAACCUGGGGACGCCACUCGAAACUGUCGUGACUAGAGUUUGGUAGGGGUCAACGGAACUCCUGGUGUAGCGGUGGAAUGCGCAGAUAUCAGGAAGAACACCAGUAGCGAAGGCGGUUGACUGGGCCAAUACUGACGCUGAGGAGCGAAAGCGUGGGGAGCGAACAGGAUUAGAUACCCUGGUAGUCCACGCCGUAAACGGUGGGCACUAGGUGUGGGACCUAUUCAACGGGUUCCGCGCCGACGCUAACGCAUUAAGUGCCCCGCCUGGGGAGUACGGCCGCAAGGCUAAAACUCAAAGGAAUUGACGGGGGCCCGCACAAGCG